AACGAACGCUGGCGGCAGGCUUAACACAUGCAAGUCGAACGGGUGUAGCAAUACAUCAGUGGCAGACGGGUGAGUAGCACGCGGGAACCUUCCUAGGGGUACGGAACAACUCAGGGAAACUUGAGCUAAUACCGUAUACGUCCGUGAGGAGAAAGAUUUAUCGCCCUUAGACGGGCCCGCGUCGGAUUAGCUAGUUGGUGGGGUAACGGCCUACCAAGGCGACGAUCCGUAGCUGAUCUUAGAGGAUGAUCAGCCACACUGGGACUGAGACACGGCCCAGACUCCUACGGGAGGCAGCAGUGGGGAAUCUUGGACAAUGGGCGCAAGCCUGAUCCAGCCAUGCCGCGUGAGUGAAGAAGGUCUUCGGAUUGUAAAGCUCUUUUGCCAGGGACGAUAAUGACGGUACCUGGAGAAUAAGCCCCGGCAAACUUCGUGCCAGCAGCCGCGGUAAU
RNAcentral lists this ribosomal RNA (452 nucleotides) under uncultured bacterium. RNAcentral's name for it is "bacterial SSU rRNA". It matches the Rfam family "Bacterial small subunit ribosomal RNA", at positions 29 to 524 of the family's 1533-position model. The record is from RNAcentral.